Molecule: ribosomal RNA, 1219 nt
Filed under: Escherichia coli
Lineage: Bacteria; Pseudomonadati; Pseudomonadota; Gammaproteobacteria; Enterobacterales; Enterobacteriaceae
Description: partial 23S ribosomal RNA
Rfam family: Bacterial large subunit ribosomal RNA
Source: RNAcentral
GGGUUGUGAGGUUAAGCGACUAAGCGUACACGGUGGAUGCCCUGGCAGUCAGAGGCGAUGAAGGACGUGCUAAUCUGCGAUAAGCGUCGGUAAGGUGAUAUGAACCGUUAUAACCGGCGAUUUCCGAAUGGGGAAACCCAGUGUGAUUCGUCACACUAUCAUUAACUGAAUCCAUAGGUUAAUGAGGCGAACCGGGGGAACUGAAACAUCUAAGUACCCCGAGGAAAAGAAAUCAACCGAGAUUCCCCCAGUAGCGGCGAGCGAACGGGGAGCAGCCCAGAGCCUGAAUCAGUGUGUGUGUUAGUGGAAGCGUCUGGAAAGGCGCGCGAUACAGGGUGACAGCCCCGUACACAAAAAUGCACAUACUGUGAGCUCGAUGAGUAGGGCGGGACACGUGGUAUCCUGUCUGAAUAUGGGGGGACCAUCCUCCAAGGCUAAAUACUCCUGACUGACCGAUAGUGAACCAGUACCGUGAGGGAAAGGCGAAAAGAACCCCGGCGAGGGGAGUGAAAAAGAACCUGAAACCGUGUACGUACAAGCAGUGGGAGCACGCUUAGGCGUGUGACUGCGUACCUUUUGUAUAAUGGGUCAGCGACUUAUAUUCUGUAGCAAGGUUAACCGAAUAGGGGAGCCGAAGGGAAACCGAGUCUUAACUGGGCGUUAAGUUGCAGGGUAUAGACCCGAAACCCGGUGAUCUAGCCAUGGGCAGGUUGAAGGUUGGGUAACACUAACUGGAGGACCGAACCGACUAAUGUUGAAAAAUUAGCGGAUGACUUGUGGCUGGGGGUGAAAGGCCAAUCAAACCGGGAGAUAGCUGGUUCUCCCCGAAAGCUAUUUAGGUAGCGCCUCGUGAAUUCAUCUCCGGGGGUAGAGCACUGUUUCGGCAAGGGGGUCAUCCCGACUUACCAACCCGAUGCAAACUGCGAAUACCGGAGAAUGUUAUCACGGGAGACACACGGCGGGUGCUAACGUCCGUCGUGAAGAGGGAAACAACCCAGACCGCCAGCUAAGGUCCCAAAGUCAUGGUUAAGUGGGAAACGAUGUGGGAAGGCCCAGACAGCCAGGAUGUUGGCUUAGAAGCAGCCAUCAUUUAAAGAAAGCGUAAUAGCUCACUGGUCGAGUCGGCCUGCGCGGAAGAUGUAACGGGGCUAAACCAUGCACCGAAGCUGCGGCAGCGACGCUUAUGCGUUGUUGGGUAGGGGAGCGUUCUGUAAGCCUG